RNAcentral lists this ribosomal RNA (641 nucleotides) under uncultured bacterium. RNAcentral's name for it is "bacterial SSU rRNA". It matches the Rfam family "Bacterial small subunit ribosomal RNA", at positions 83 to 760 of the family's 1533-position model. The record is from RNAcentral.
UGGAUACACUUAGUGGCGGACGGGUGAGUAACGCGUGGGUACCUGCCUCACACUGGGGGAUAACAGUUAGAAAUAGCCGCUAAUACCGCAUAAGUCCGCAUGGAAAAAACUCCGGUGGUGUGAGAUGGACCCGCGUCUGAUUAGCCAGUUGGCGGGGUAACGGCCCACCAAAGCGACGAUCAGUAGCCGGCCUGAGAGGGUGAACGGCCACAUUGGGACUGAGACACGGCCCAAACUCCUACGGGAGGCAGCAGUGGGGAAUAUUGCACAAUGGGGGAAACCCUGAUGCAGCGACGCCGCGUGAGUGAAGAAGUAUUUCGGUAUGUAAAGCUCUAUCAGCAGGGAAGAAGUGACGGUACCUGAAUAAGAAGCCCCGGCUAACUACGUGCCAGCAGCCGCGGUAAUACGUAGGGGGCAAGCGUUAUCCGGAUUUACUGGGUGUAAAGGGAGCGUAGACGGCAAGGCAAGUCUGAAGUGAAAGCCCGGUGCUUAACGCCGGGACUGCUUUGGAAACUGUUUGGCUGGAGUGCCGGAGAGGUAAGCGGAAUUCCUAGUGUAGCGGUGAAAUGCGUAGAUAUUAGGAAGAACACCAGUGGCGAAGGCGGCUUACUGGACGGUAACUGACGUUGAGGCUCGAAAGC